Molecule: ribosomal RNA, 460 nt
Filed under: uncultured bacterium
Lineage: Bacteria
Description: partial 16S ribosomal RNA
Rfam family: Bacterial small subunit ribosomal RNA
Source: RNAcentral
CCUACGGGUGGCAGCAGUGAGGAAUAUUGGUCAAUGGGCGCGAGCCUGAACCAGCCAAGUAGCGUGAAGGAUGACUGCCCUACGGGUUGUAAACUUCUUUUAUAAAGGAAUAAAGUGAGGAACGUGUGCCUUUUUGUAUGUACUUGAUGAAUAAGGAUCGGGUAACUCCGGUCCAGCAGCCGCGGGAAGACGGAGGAGCCGAGCGUUAUCCGGAUUUAUUGGGUUUAAAGGGAGCGUAGAUGGGUUGGUAAGUCAGGUGUGAAAGUUUGGGGCUCACACGUAAAAUUGCAAUUGAUACUGGCAGUCUUGAGUACAGUUGAGGGAGGCGGAAUUCGUGGUGUAGCGGUGAAAUGCUUAGAUAUCACGAAGAACUCUGAUUGCGAAGGCAGCUUACUAAACUGCCACUGACAUUGAGGCUCGAAAGUGUGGGUAUCAAACAGGAUUAGAUACCCGUGUAGUC